GUGGGUAUAGCUCAGUGUAGAGUGCAUGCUUAGCAUGCACGAGGUCCUGGGUUCCAUCCCCAGUACUUCCA
Molecule: transfer RNA, 71 nt
Filed under: Camelus bactrianus (Bactrian camel)
Lineage: Eukaryota; Metazoa; Chordata; Mammalia; Artiodactyla; Camelidae
Also listed under: 2 other names
Rfam family: tRNA
About the family: Transfer RNA (tRNA) molecules are approximately 80 nucleotides in length. Their secondary structure includes four short double-helical elements and three loops (D, anti-codon, and T loops).
Source: Rfam by way of RNAcentral